GGCUCGAUAGCUCAGUUGGUAGAGCGUCCGCCUGAAAAGCGGAAGGUCACCGGAUCGACGCCGGUUCGAGCCA
Molecule: transfer RNA, 73 nt
Filed under: Bifidobacteriaceae bacterium
Lineage: Bacteria; Bacillati; Actinomycetota; Actinomycetes; Bifidobacteriales; Bifidobacteriaceae
Description: tRNA-Phe
Rfam family: tRNA
About the family: Transfer RNA (tRNA) molecules are approximately 80 nucleotides in length. Their secondary structure includes four short double-helical elements and three loops (D, anti-codon, and T loops).
Source: RNAcentral